CCGCGUGGGCCCCUAAGCCGAAGAAGAUUCCUGGAAGUUUCGCUGGCCAGUGUCGGGGUCUGUCGAAGGGGAUCGAAAACCCACAACUCCUCAUCAAUCCAGCUAGCAAGUGAGAUGGAGAACUGAUCCGAUCGCGAUCGGGAACAGCAGCGAUCGGUGACACGAGUGGAGCAGCGAUCCGAUCUGAUCGAAGAUGAGCCUAUUCGGUCUCGGGAGGAACCAACGGACAUUUCGCCCAAAGAAAAGUGCACCAUCUGGUAGCAAGGGUGCACAACUACGAAAGCACAUUGAUGCCACUUUGGGUAGUGGAAACCUGAGAGAAGCAGUAAGGCUCCCCCCUGGAGAGGACUACAAUG
This 356-nucleotide unclassified non-coding RNA is filed under the name Hevea brasiliensis (rubber tree). Lineage: Eukaryota; Viridiplantae; Streptophyta; Magnoliopsida; Malpighiales; Euphorbiaceae. The record is from RNAcentral.